UAUAACAUUCCCUUUGUCCUUCGGUAUGUUACUUGGCCGAUAUUUGAUCGUUAGUAUCUCUAUACUUAUUUCAAUCUCGUUACCGGCAAGUCUCUUUACUCGUUCCGUAAUACAAGAUCUCGUGACUAACACUUGAGUCACAUUGCUUGCAAGGCUUAUACGUGAUGUUGUAUUACCGAGUGGGCCCCGAGAUACCUCACUGUUACAUGGAGUGACAAACCUCAGUCUUGAUCCAUGCUAACUCAACGGACACCUUCGGAGUUACAUGUAGAGCACCUUUAUAGUCACCCAAUAACGUUGUGAUGUUUGAUAAAUACAAGGUAUUCCUCCGGUGUGAGUGAGUUACAUGAUCUCAUGG
This 358-nucleotide long non-coding RNA is filed under the name Hordeum vulgare. RNAcentral describes it as "long non-coding RNA (HVUL_LNC012545)". The record is from RNAcentral. Lineage: Eukaryota; Viridiplantae; Streptophyta; Magnoliopsida; Poales; Poaceae.